CGCCCCCGCCGGGCACGGCGGGGCCCUGGGCCGCCUCCGGGAGCGCGAGUUCCCCCGGCUCCGAGGGAUUACUUACCUUGACCAUGCAGGCUCAGCUCUCUUCCCAGAGAGUCUACUUAAAGCUUUCACCGAUGACCUGCGGAACAACGUUUAUGGCAACCCUCAUAGUCGGAAUACCAGCAGCAAGCUGACGUAUGACACAGUCGAGCAUGUCCGAUACAGAAUAUUGCAGACACUU
Molecule: non-coding RNA, 238 nt
Organism: Tinamus guttatus (white-throated tinamou)
Lineage: Eukaryota; Metazoa; Chordata; Aves; Tinamiformes; Tinamidae
Source: RefSeq, a predicted model, not a curated record